UACGUAGGGCGCAAGCGUUGUCCGGAAUUAUUGGGCGUAAAGAGCUCGUAGGUGGUUUGUCGCGUCUUCGUGAAAACUCACAGCUUAACUGUGGGCGUGCGGGCGAUACGGGCAGACUUGAGUACUGCAGGGGAGACUGGAAUUCCUGGUGUAGCGGUGGAAUGCGCAGAUAUCAGGAGGAACACCGGUGGCGAAGGCGGCGUCCUGGACCAAUACUGACACUGAGGAGCGAAAGCCAGGGGAGCAAACGGG
RNAcentral lists this ribosomal RNA (252 nucleotides) under uncultured bacterium. RNAcentral's name for it is "partial 16S ribosomal RNA". It matches the Rfam family "Bacterial small subunit ribosomal RNA", at positions 524 to 776 of the family's 1533-position model. The record is from RNAcentral.